GACCCAAUGGCUCAAUGGUUAGUGUGCUUGCUUUAGUUGUCACGGAGUGAGGGCUGUACGCAAGAGGUACCUCGUUCGAUUCGGGGUUGGGUCA
Molecule: non-coding RNA, 94 nt
Organism: Mycena alexandri
Lineage: Eukaryota; Fungi; Basidiomycota; Agaricomycetes; Agaricales; Mycenaceae
Source: the annotation of a GenBank genome assembly